This 818-nucleotide ribosomal RNA is filed under the name uncultured Actinomycetes bacterium. RNAcentral describes it as "bacterial SSU rRNA". It matches the Rfam family "Bacterial small subunit ribosomal RNA", at positions 335 to 1167 of the family's 1533-position model. The record is from RNAcentral. Lineage: Bacteria; Bacillati; Actinomycetota; Actinomycetes.
ACUCCUACGGGAGGCAGCAGUGGGGAAUAUUGCACAAUGGGCGUAAGCCUGAUGCAGCAACGCCGCGUGAGGGACGACGGCCUUCGGGUUGUAAACCUCUUUUAGUAGGGAAGAAGCGAAAGUGACGGUACCUGCAGAAAAAGCACCGGCUAACUACGUGCCAGCAGCCGCGGUAAUACGUAGGGUGCAAGCGUUAUCCGGAAUUAUUGGGCGUAAAGAGCUCGUAGGCGGUUUGUCGCGUCUGCUGUGAAAACUGGAGGCUCAACCUCCAGCCUGCAGUGGGUACGGGCAGACUAAGUGCGGUAGGGGAGAUUGGAAUUCCUGGUGUAGCGGUGGAAUGCGCAGAUAUCAGGAGGAACACCGAUGGCGAAGGCAGAUCUCUGGGCCGUAACUGACGCUGAGGAGCGAAAGCAUGGGGAGCGAACAGGAUUAGAUACCCUGGUAGUCCAUGCCGUAAACGUUGGGAACUAGAUGUAGGGUCCAUUCCACGGGUUCUGUGUCGCAGCUAACGCAUUAAGUUCCCCGCCUGGGGAGUACGGCCGCUAGGCUAAAACUCAAAGGAAUUGACGGGGGCCCGCACAAGCGGCGGAGCAUGCGGAUUAAUUCGAUGCAACGCGAAGAACCUUACCAAGGCUUGACAUAUACCGGAAAAGUUCAGAAAUGUUCUCCCCGCAAGGUCGGUAUACAGGUGGUGCAUGGUUGUCGUCAGCUCGUGUCGUGAGAUGUUGGGUUAAGUCCCGCAACGAGCGCAACCCUCGUUCUAUGUUGCCAGCACGUAAUGGUGGGAACUCAUAGGAGACUGCCGGGGUCAACUCGGA